UAAGCUACCGUUUUCGCUCAA
Molecule: non-coding RNA, 21 nt
Organism: Caenorhabditis elegans
Lineage: Eukaryota; Metazoa; Nematoda; Chromadorea; Rhabditida; Rhabditidae
Source: Ensembl